ACGUAGGUGGCGAGCGUUGUCCGGAUUUACUGGGCGUAAAGGGAGCGUAGGCGGACUUUUAAGUCAGAUGUGAAAUACCCGGGCUCAACUUGGGAGCUGCAUUGAAAACUGGAAGUCUAGAGUGCAGGAGAGGAGAGGGGAAUUCCUAGUGUAGCGGUGAAAUGCGUAGAUAUUAGGAAGAACACCAGUGGCGAAGGCGAUUUUCUGGACUGUAACUGACGCUGAGGCGCGAAAGCGUGGGGAGCAAACAG
RNAcentral lists this ribosomal RNA (251 nucleotides) under uncultured prokaryote. Its description in RNAcentral is "partial 16S rRNA". It matches the Rfam family "Bacterial small subunit ribosomal RNA", at positions 525 to 775 of the family's 1533-position model. The record is from RNAcentral.